GAUAAAGAUAAGGCUAAAUGUAAAACUUGUGGUAAAGAACUUGUUCAUAGGUAUAAGGGUGAUCGUAGCGGAACAGGUAGUUUAGUUAAACAUAUACUUAUACAUCCUAGCGAUAAGGCAAGAUAUCUUCAAAUGAAAGCGGAACAAGUGGGGAGGCCAAGUCCUGAUACUUCAAUUAACCAAAGUACUGGUUCUAACAUGGUUCAACCA
This 210-nucleotide long non-coding RNA is filed under the name Nicotiana benthamiana. RNAcentral's name for it is "long non-coding RNA (NBEN_LNC009611)". The record is from RNAcentral. Lineage: Eukaryota; Viridiplantae; Streptophyta; Magnoliopsida; Solanales; Solanaceae.